GUAGUCCACGCCGUAAACGGUGGGUACUAGGUGUGGGUUUCCUUCCUUGGGAUCCGUGCCGUAGCUAACGCAUUAAGUACCCCGCCUGGGGAGUACGGCCGCAAGGCUAAAACUCAAAGAAAUUGACGGGGGCCCGCACAAGCGGCGGAGCAUGUGGAUUAAUUCGAUGCAACGCGAAGAACCUUACCUGGGUUUGACAUGCACAGGACGCCGGCAGAGAUGUCGGUUCCCUUGUGGCCUGUGUGCAGGUGGUGCAUGGCUGUCGUCAGCUCGUGUCGUGAGAUGUUGGGUUAAGUCCCGCAACGAGCGCAACCCUUGUCUCAUGUUGCCAGCGCGUUAUGGCGGGGACUCGUGAGAGACUGCCGGGGUCAACUCGGAGGAAGGUGGGGAUGACGUCAAGUCAUCAUGCCCCUUAUGUCCAGGGCUUCACACAUGCUACAAUGGCCGGUACAAAGGGCUGCGAUGCCGUGAGGUGGAGCGAUCCUUUCAAAGCCGGUCUCAGUUCGGAUCGGGGUCUGCAACUCGACCCCGUGAAGUCGGAGUCGCUAGUAAUCGCAGAUCAGCAACGCUGCGGUGAAUA
This 580-nucleotide ribosomal RNA is filed under the name uncultured Mycobacterium sp. RNAcentral describes it as "bacterial SSU rRNA". It matches the Rfam family "Bacterial small subunit ribosomal RNA", at positions 790 to 1368 of the family's 1533-position model. The record is from RNAcentral. Lineage: Bacteria; Bacillati; Actinomycetota; Actinomycetes; Mycobacteriales; Mycobacteriaceae.